This 685-nucleotide unclassified non-coding RNA is filed under the name Melitaea cinxia (Glanville fritillary). RNAcentral describes it as "misc RNA ENSMCXG00005004600.1". Lineage: Eukaryota; Metazoa; Arthropoda; Insecta; Lepidoptera; Nymphalidae. The record is from RNAcentral.
AUAUACAGGAAAGAUCGAAUACCCGAUACGAAAUCUCUCUUAAAUUCAAAAAUAUGAUGGUGCGCAAUGUCAAAUUAGUUUUUCUAAAGUAGUUGUUACAACUUUGCCCACCAAAAUAUUAUCGUUAAGGUUGUCACCUCAAUGUUAAAAUUGGAUUCGAGAUGAGUAGAUACUUAUUUUUUUGACAUUAAUUUCGAAAUUACAUACCUAAAUAGUGAUUUUAUAAUCCUUUGUUUUCAUUAAUUUUGUAAUUCAAUUUUGUAAUCAACAUAUGAGCUAAAAAUGAAAAUUUCGUUGAAAAAGUACAUUGAAUGUAUUUGCAACAUAAUUAGGGUGAUUUUGGAUAAGGGUAUUUGUUAAUUUUGCUGAAUUUAUUUAUUUUUAAAUUUAUCUCAGGUUGCAUAGUACUAAGCCUAAAAACACAAGAAAAAAAAAGAAUAUUAGGAUAGAAAUACCGAAAUUAUUCAGAGGAAAUGGACGAUUUAGCGGUUGACAUGGUAGAAAAUAACAGGAUGUCAAAUCGGGAGGCAGAAAAGAGGUUCGGGAUCCCUCGAUGAACGGUAUUAAAUAAAGUUAAGAAAAUUCACUUAAAAUCACUUGGAGAACAAACCAAUCUCACUGACGAAGAGAAAGAAAAUUGACAAACGUGUUGUUAGCUCCAGCAGAUUAUGGCAGCCCCAUGACU